Molecule: small nucleolar RNA, 90 nt
Filed under: Loxodonta africana (African savanna elephant)
Lineage: Eukaryota; Metazoa; Chordata; Mammalia; Proboscidea; Elephantidae
Description: Small nucleolar RNA SNORD11B (ENSLAFG00000023914.1)
Rfam family: Small nucleolar RNA SNORD11
Source: RNAcentral
CAAGUGUUGAAUGAUGAUUUUUAUUUGUUUGCCUGACUUCCUUUUGGAUAAUGAGGGCAUCUUUAGUCACUACCUCUUCUGAGACACUUA